RNAcentral lists this ribosomal RNA (432 nucleotides) under uncultured bacterium. RNAcentral's name for it is "partial 16S ribosomal RNA". It matches the Rfam family "Bacterial small subunit ribosomal RNA", at positions 29 to 507 of the family's 1533-position model. The record is from RNAcentral.
GCGAACGCUGGCGGCAGGCCUAACACAUGCAAGUCGCACGAACUCUUCGGAGUUAGUGGCGGACGGGUGAGUAACACGUGGGAACGUGCCUUUUGGUUCGGAAUAACUCAGGGAAACUUGUGCUAAUACCGAAUGUGCCCUUCGGGGGAAAGAUUUAUCGCCAUUAGAGCGGCCCGCGUCUGAUUAGCUAGUUGGUGAGGUAACGGCUCACCAAGGCGACGAUCAGUAGCUGGUCUGAGAGGAUGACCAGCCACACUGGGACUGAGACACGGCCCAGACUCCUACGGGAGGCGGCAGUGGGGAAUCUUGCGCAAUGGGCGAAAGCCUGACGCAGCCAUGCCGCGUGAAUGAUGAAGGUCUUAGGAUUGUAAAAUUCUUUCACCGGGGACGAUAAUGACGGUACCCGGAGAAGAAGCCCCGGCUAACUUCGUG